CCCUUGAUUUCUUUCAUUCUAUAUCGUUGAUAAACCAUAAAUUUAAAAGGUACUUACUAAAAUCUCCUCAUAUUUGCAGGGGAACACCUUAUAAUCAACGAUAAUCAUCAAUUCAUCAUCAUCUUUGUGAACUUUCAGAUGGAGCUCCCUUCAAACUAAAGCUAUUGUAGCAACAAUUACCCACCAUUAUGGCCACAUAAAUGGAGGUCCACGUCAUCAUAAAUUCUAUAUUUUCAAAUUUAGUCUUCAAAUGAAUACAGUGUGAACACUGGUCACUAAACAUGAAACAAACACAUUUUCUUAAACAUUGUUAUUCUUAUUUGGUAUGAGCAGAUGGUUGACAUGUAGACACCAUACCCUUUUUCAAUAGAAAAUAUGCUAAUUCCCCUUUUCUCCAAUCUCAAGAUCAAACAAAUCAACUUCUAAUGGGUGCAUUAUUGGUUUUGACCCCUCCCCAAUCACCUUUUUUGUUUUCAGAACUCCUUUUAACUUAUUUGCCAAAGAUUAUCUCACAUUGGCCCCUCUCCAAUCAUCUUCAAAAAAGAAGUUGACACCUUUAUCUACCAGAGAACCAACUUUACCACAUCAUCAAGGUCAAAUGAAAGAUCCAUCUGAAAGUGGCUGGUCAACCCGACAACCAUUGUAUAUUUUCUUUCUAGCAACAAAGACUUUUGAACAUAGUUAGUUUUGUAGGAACUAAUAUUUGUUCUUGAAAAACACAAUUGCGUUUUAAAAUAUAAAUUAUUUUGAUAAAAAGCUAUGUAUGUGGCCCUGUUAAAUUGGUUUGUGUUUCGUUCUUAUUUAAAUGUCAUUUAAGAGUUUAUGGCAA
Long non-coding RNA from Lactuca sativa (garden lettuce), 829 nucleotides. RefSeq lists it as uncharacterized. The record is from RefSeq and is a predicted model, not a curated record. Lineage: Eukaryota; Viridiplantae; Streptophyta; Magnoliopsida; Asterales; Asteraceae.